GGAGGCCCGAACUCUUCCCCUCCCCUCGGGGCGGUCCUCUGCCGGCUGCCGGGAAGCGGCCUCGAACCCCAGGGUGCUUUCGGCUAGGCCGCCGGGCCUGCAGCCUCUGCUGGUUUUAUCGCUCAGAGAAGGUGGUGGACCGGGGAGGAGUCGGCUCUGGGCCUGCCCCUCCGCGAAUUUGUUGUGUUACUUCCAGCGAGACACAUCCCGCCGGCCUCGUUUCUUAUUCUGUAAAAUUGGGAGGUGGUUGCCUAGAUGAUUUCACAGGCUAUUAGACAAGGGAAAAGAGAGAUCAUCUGCCCCCUUCGUUUUACAGAUGAAAAGAUCUGACUGACACGUCUGGCUCUGCAAUUCUGUGAAUUACCCAAAAUGUCUGUCAUUGACAGAGCUCUCCCCUCAAGGGAGCCCACACCUUUCUUCUUUUUUACCCGCUUUUUUAAUUCUAUAAUGGAAGUGCUACUUCCAAAAGUAGAGUGUUCCUUGUCACUAGAGGAGUCAAACAGCUGCUGAACAGGCUUUCUGAGCCCUCAUGGCCUUAUCUGGAAAGCAUCCCUCAUUCCAAAGGCUGGCAAUAUAAUACCUGUCUCUUUCCCCGGGUUGUCCUAAGGAUGAAUGAGUCACUGGCUGCGGAAGUGCUUUGCAAAGCAUACAUCUAUCCUUUCCUGCGCUCUUAUUCCCAGUUAGCUGUCUUCACCUACCUCAAUCCUGUCCUGCUGCAGUCUCCCAACGUCUUCUGCUGUUUCCCUUCCAGUGUUUUCUACUCUAAAACAACCUCUGUAAAUCCUUAAGCCCUUCACACCUCUUCUAACUGAAACCCAACUUUGCCUUGAAAACACCAACCUCCCUGGCACCUCUCUGAGGCAGUGGGCAACUUCUUCCAGAGACAGGAACUCCAUCCUGCCAUCAUUCACUGCCGUCCACUGCCUAGAUCCUCAUCCUCUUCCUGUCCUGCUGAUAAAGCAUCCUGUAGGCCACACCCCACAUUCAUUCAUCUAUUCAUUCAUUUAUGUAGUAUUCAUUUAACUGAUUCCUGUCGAAGACCUGUUGCUGGGACCCUCAGCACUUUUCAUUAGCUCUUGCCCUCGCCUGGUUUAGCAGGACGUUUAGCCACCUGCAGAGUCCCCAUCCCCAAUAAGAGUUGGAAAUACCCACAGGAAUGUGUCUCUAGCAUUCCCAGUUUAAUCCCUUUCUGUAGGAGCUACCUCCAAGUCUAGUCCAAUCUAGGCUGUGAAGGUGCCUACAAAUGAGCCACUUGUACAGGCAAUGCUGUCUCCUGUUGGGGCUACACUCUAGUAACUGCUGAUUGCCAAAUCCAGUGGACACUUGAGUCCGCCCAUCAUGUGACCUUUCUACAGACCUUGUCACUCCUUCUUUUUGAAACUCUCCUCUCCUCUGUUUUCUACAUCAUUCUCCUUUGUCUGUAACCUGUUUUCUGAACUUCCUUUUGCUAGCACUUUUCUUGGCUGCUCCUUUUUUACAAAGCCAUAUAAUCCCCUCCACCCCAACUCGGCAGCUCAGUGUCUUAAUUAACUUUAAAACAUCCUCAGGGCAUGCAGUGCUGAGAUUUUGUUGAACAAUGAAUGGAACUGGAGCAGACUGUCACCAAGUUACAAAGACACCAGGAUAACAAAAAUCUGGCAAUGAGGGGUCAUUUUUUGCAGAAGCAGAAUGGACUCCAUCCACAUGUGCGUUAGACCAAAUCCUACAGAUGAUGAUGAAUUCAUGUACUGCGGAGCUUAUCUUUAUGGAAAGAACUCAUUUCCUAGAAUUUUCAAUAUUUUUUCGGAAUGUCUACGUGAUCUGGUGGAUUUAAAAGUUUUUCAUUAUAGUGUAACAUGCAAACAGAAAAGUGCACAAAUCAUAAAUGCUCAGCUCAAAGAAUUUUCACAAAGUGAACAAUAUGUGUAAUCAGAACCCUGAUUGUGAAACAGAAUAUAACCAGCACCCCAGAGUGUCUCCCUCAAGACUUCUUCCUCCCAACAAAG
Molecule: long non-coding RNA, 1985 nt
Organism: Equus caballus (horse)
Lineage: Eukaryota; Metazoa; Chordata; Mammalia; Perissodactyla; Equidae
Source: Ensembl